AACAGGAUUAGAUACCCUGGUAGUCCACGCCGUAAACGAUGUCGACUUGGAGGUUGUUCCCUUGAGGAGUGGCUUCCGGAGCUAACGCGUUAAGUCGACCGCCUGGGGAGUACGGCCGCAAGGUUAAAACUCAAAUGAAUUGACGGGGGCCCGCACAAGCGGUGGAGCAUGUGGUUUAAUUCGAUGCAACGCGAAGAACCUUACCUACUCUUGACAUCCACGGAAUUUGGCAGAGAUGCCUUAGUGCCUUCGGGAACCGUGAGACAGGUGCUGCAUGGCUGUCGUCAGCUCGUGUUGUGAAAUGUUGGGUUAAGUCCCGCAACGAGCGCAACCCUUAUCCUUUGUUGCCAGCGAUUCGGUCGGGAACUCAAAGGAGACUGCCGGUGAUAAACCGGAGGAAGGUGGGGAUGACGUCAAGUCAUCAUGGCCCUUACGAGUAGGGCUACACACGUGCUACAAUGGCGCAUACAAAGAGAAGCGAUCUCGCGAGAGCAAGCGGACCUCACAAAGUGCGUCGUAGUCCGGAUCGGAGUCUGCAACUCGACUCCGUGAAGUCGGAAUCGCUAGUAAUCGUGGAUCAGAAUGCCACGGUGAAUACGUUCCCGGGCCUUGUACACACCGCCCGUCACACCAUGGGAGUGGGUUGCAAAAGAAGUAGGUAGCUUAACCUUCGGGAGGGCGCUUACCACUUUGUGAUUCAUGACUGGGGUGAAGUCGUAACAAGGUAACC
This 730-nucleotide ribosomal RNA is filed under the name uncultured bacterium. Its description in RNAcentral is "bacterial SSU rRNA". It matches the Rfam family "Bacterial small subunit ribosomal RNA", at positions 771 to 1501 of the family's 1533-position model. The record is from RNAcentral.